Molecule: non-coding RNA, 1165 nt
Organism: Malus domestica (apple)
Lineage: Eukaryota; Viridiplantae; Streptophyta; Magnoliopsida; Rosales; Rosaceae
Source: RefSeq, a predicted model, not a curated record
AUGUUUGUUUGGUCUCAUUAAGUGACUACUACUUCCUAGUGUAGUCCCAUGUUUGGUCCGUGCUAGGACUAAGUUAAAUGAGAUUAAACGUGAGAUUAAACGGGAUUUGCGUGGACCAUCGGCCUCGCUAGCCGUUCUUAGCGAGACCUCCCCCAACCAUGGGACUCCCUAAGACCAUCUCUGCUUCGCUCUUUCCGCUUUGCUCCUCCCAUCUACUUCUUCUUCCCCACAGCUUGCAUACAGACAAAGAGAGGGAAAGAGAAGAAGGAGAAGAAGAAGAGCCGCAGAAAGAGGGCAAAGGGGAAAAGGUUUUGUUAUGGGCUACUGGGUGAGAAGAAGAUGGAGAAUCUAGGGCAAGCAAGGACAGCCGUCAUCGAUGGAUCUAAAGGCGAACUGGGUGACCUCGAAAAUAACUUCAUGAGUAUGUUUAAUUUUUGUUUAGGUGAAAUGGAGAAGUCAAUGGUGCCUGAGCCCCUGCUAUGGAAUUGUACUAUUGAUUGUUAUGGAAGAUAUGAGGAUCUCAGUAUCAUCCAAGUGUGUAUACUUACAAUGCGUUGAUCCAUGCACAAGAAGUAAAAGGAGGAAACAUUGAUCAUGCUCUUGCUCUAAAAAAGGAGAUGGUUAUCUGAUCUUUGUUCUGUAUAAUUUGUUGAUAGGUGCUGCUUUUAAGUUAGGGCUCCAGUUAUAUGAUGAAAUUCUGAGAAUAGGAUUUGAUCCAGAUAUAUUUACUUACACUGCACUAAUCAGAGGGCACUGCGUGAGAGGUGACAUGAAGGAGGCAGAAGAGCUUUUUACAAAGAUACAUAAAUUUGGUUUAUUCCAUAUCGUAUAUUUUUCAAGGAGUACUGCUAAAUUAAGGAGCCUGACAUGGCAUUUGGUGUUUACCAGAAGUGGCUGGGAAGGGGAUGCAAAUAUCUGGAGCUGAAAAUGAGGUUGAUUCAAAAGUGAUAUCAAAGCUGAAAAUGAUGUUUCCCCAAUUAACUAGCUUUUGUGAAUCAUGGGAAUCUAAUUUUGAAUGAUAAUAUUGUAGCUAGCUAUUGCAAGUACGUUGCAGAUUAGUGUAACUAGCGUAUAUUGUAGUUAUUGUAAGUAUGUUGCAGAUUGUUACUUGUUUUCUUGAAUUAUGAUAUUUCUUUUGUGCCAAGAAAUUUGGUUAGUCUUUUUA